Abrus precatorius (Indian licorice) is the source of this 151-nucleotide long non-coding RNA. RefSeq lists it as uncharacterized. The transcript is spliced from 3 exons. The record is from RefSeq and is a predicted model, not a curated record. Lineage: Eukaryota; Viridiplantae; Streptophyta; Magnoliopsida; Fabales; Fabaceae.
AUGCAGAAAUUAUAAAAACUAUUUCUGAGAAUGGUGAUAUCUUACAGUCUUUGGUAAAAAUGGGUUACAAGCGAGAGGAGGCUUUGAUUGCUAUAGAAAGAUUAGGUGCAAAUUCCUCACUUAUGGAAUUGAUAGAUUUUAUUGGUGUUGC